GGAUGUUCAUAACCCUUUGUUGUCCGACUCUGUUGCCUCCGGGGCGACCCUGCCUUCGGGCGGGGGCUCCGGGUGGACACUUCAAACUCUUGCGUAACUUUGCAGUCUGAGUAAACUUAAUUAAUAAAUUAAAACUUUUAACAACGGAUCUCUUGGUUCUGGCAUCGAUGAAGAACGCAGCGAAAUGCGAUAAGUAAUGUGAAUUGCAGAAUUCAGUGAAUCAUCGAAUCUUUGAACGCACAUUGCGCCCCCUGGUAUUCCGGGGGGCAUGCCUGUUCGAGCGUCAUUUCACCACUCAAGCCUCGCUUGGUAUUGGGCAUCGCGGUCCGCCGCGUGCCUCAAAUCGACCGGCUGGGUCUUCUGUCCCCUAAGCGUUGUGGAAACUAUUCGCUAAAGGGUGUUCGGGAGGCUACGCCGUAAAACAACCCCAUUUCUAAGGUUGACCUCGGAUCAGGUAGGGAUACCCGCUGAACUUAAGCAUAUCAAUAAGCGGAGGA
RNAcentral lists this ribosomal RNA (497 nucleotides) under Cladosporium sp. Aksu23. Its description in RNAcentral is "eukaryotic LSU rRNA". The stretch from base 133 to 286 matches the Rfam family "5.8S ribosomal RNA". The record is from RNAcentral. Lineage: Eukaryota; Fungi; Ascomycota; Dothideomycetes; Cladosporiales; Cladosporiaceae.